GAUCCUGGCUCAGGAUGAACGCUAGCUACAGGCUUAACACAUGCAAGUCGAGGGGAAACGACAUCGAAAGCUUGCUUUUGAUGGGCGUCGACCGGCGCACGGGUGAGUAACGCGUAUCCAACCUGCCCAUCACUUGGGAAUAACCUUGCGAAAGUAAGACUAAUGCCCAAUGAUAUCCCACGAAGGCAUCCGAAUGGGAUUAAAGAUUUAUCGCUGAAAGAUGGCCUCGCGU
Molecule: ribosomal RNA, 232 nt
Filed under: uncultured bacterium
Lineage: Bacteria
Description: partial 16S ribosomal RNA
Rfam family: Bacterial small subunit ribosomal RNA
Source: RNAcentral